Molecule: ribosomal RNA, 577 nt
Filed under: uncultured bacterium
Lineage: Bacteria
Description: bacterial SSU rRNA
Rfam family: Bacterial small subunit ribosomal RNA
Source: RNAcentral
GAAGCAACGCGAAGAACCUUACCAGAGCUUGACAUCUCCUGCAUAAUCCGUAAUGGGAUGAAAUCCUUCGGGACAGGAAGACAGGUGGUGCAUGGUNGUCGUCAGCUCGUGUCGUGAGAUGUUGGGUUAAGUCCCGCAACGAGCGCAACCCCUAUACUUAGUUGCCAUCAUUAAGUUGGGCACUCUAAGUAGACUGCCGGAGACAAUUCGGAGGAAGGUGGGGAUGACGUCAAAUCAUCAUGCCCCUUAUGUUCUGGGCUACACACGUGCUACAAUGGGUAUAACAACGGGAAGCAANCCAGCGAUGGUGAGCNAAUCCCUAAAAAAUACUCCCAGUUCAGAUUGUUCUCUGCAACUCGAGAACAUGAAGUCGGAGUUGCUAGUAAUCGCGAAUCAGAACGUCGCGGUGAAUGCGUUCCCGGGUCUUGUACACACCGCCCGUCACACCAUGGAAGUUGAUAAUACCCAAAGUNGAUGAGCUAACCGAAAGGAGGCAGUCGCCUAAGGUAGGAUUAAUGACUGGGGUGAAGUCGUAACAAGGUAGCCGUAUCGGAAGGUGCGGCUGGAUCACCUCCUU